Molecule: ribosomal RNA, 221 nt
Filed under: uncultured bacterium
Lineage: Bacteria
Description: partial 16S ribosomal RNA
Rfam family: Bacterial small subunit ribosomal RNA
Source: RNAcentral
GAUCAUGGCUCAGGAUGAACGCUAGCUACAGGCUUAACACAUGCAAGUCGAGGGGCAGCAUGGUCUUAGCUUGCUAAGGCUGAUGGCGACCGGCGCACGGGUGAGUAACACGUAUCCAACCUGCCGUCUACUCUUGGCCAGCCUUCUGAAAGGAAGAUUAAUCCAGGAUGGGAUCAUGAGUUCACAUGUCGCAUGNUUAAAGGUAAUUUCGUUACGUACGA